GAUGAACGCUGGCGGCGUGCCUAAUACAUGCAAGUCGAGCGAACAGACGAGGAGCUUGCUCCUCUGACGUUAGCGGCGGACGGGUGAGUAACACGUGUAUAACCUACCUAUAAGACUGGGAUAACUUCGGGAAACCGGAGCUAAUACCGGAUAAUAUAUUGAACCUCAUGGUUCAAUAGUGAAAGACGGUUUUGCUGUCACUUAUAGAUGUAUCCGCGCCGCAUUAGCUAGUUGGUAAGGUAACGGCUUACCAAGGCAACGAUGCGUAGCCGACCUGAGAGGGUGAUCGGCCACACUGGAACUGAGACACGGUCCAGACUCCUACGGGAGGCAGCAGUAGGGAAUCUUCCGCAAUGGGCGAAAGCCUGACGGAGCAACGCCGCGUGAGUGAUGAAGGUCUUCGGAUCGUAAAACUCUGUUAUUAGGGAAGAACAAAUGUGUAAGUAACUAUGCACGUAUUGACGGUACCUAAUCAGAAAGCAACGGCUAACUACGUG
This 497-nucleotide ribosomal RNA is filed under the name uncultured bacterium. RNAcentral describes it as "partial 16S ribosomal RNA". It matches the Rfam family "Bacterial small subunit ribosomal RNA", at positions 28 to 507 of the family's 1533-position model. The record is from RNAcentral.